RNAcentral lists this long non-coding RNA (538 nucleotides) under Mus pahari (shrew mouse). RNAcentral describes it as "lncRNA (MGP_PahariEiJ_G0004202.1)". The record is from RNAcentral. Lineage: Eukaryota; Metazoa; Chordata; Mammalia; Rodentia; Muridae.
GGACCAAAACUGACCCUGAGAGAGGAGAUUCAUCCCCAAUGGUGUCCAAGCCUGAUAAUGCCUGUCUACCUAACAUUCGCCUCUACAAGUACCAGAGGCUCUGGGAAACAUUUACACCAACUGAGAGGGAUCAUUCACCAACUUCCGGUGAUGCAUGGAGAGCCAAUCAUUGAUCAGUGGCCAGAAGCUGGAUCUGUUGCAGUCUCAAUGUGACUAUCAGAAUACUGGAACAACACGACCUAAGGAUAAUGGAAGGGGGGAAAUCUUGUGCUGGGAAAGGAAAGGGCACCAACCAGAGGACGAACUUUCUUCGGUGAGGGAAUUUCCAAUUUAAAGAUGAGACUAAAACCCAGAAAGUGACAAGACAAUGUUGGGUGUGACGGCACCUUACCCAGGUCUGCUCGCGUGUGCUCAUGUGUGCAUACACUUUAAGCUAUGGUCGCACUUCAGGGCCCUGACGACUUGAUGGCUUUGCUGUGUCUCUAUCCCCAGCUUCCCAAUGUGGCCACAUUGAAUAAACCUCCUCCUUCUGUUUUCU